ACGCUCGACACCUACGGGAGCAGCAGUGGGGAAUAUUGGGCAAUGGGCGCAAGCCUGACCCAGCAACGCCGCGUGAAGGAAGAAGGCUUUCGGGUUGUAAACUUCUUUUAUUAAGGACGAAGCAAUGACGGUACUUAAUGAAUAAGCUCCGGCUAACUACGUGCCAGUAGCCGGGGUAAUCUGAGCGGGCUGGCAAGGC
This 199-nucleotide ribosomal RNA is filed under the name uncultured bacterium. Its description in RNAcentral is "partial 16S ribosomal RNA". It matches the Rfam family "Bacterial small subunit ribosomal RNA", at positions 328 to 539 of the family's 1533-position model. The record is from RNAcentral.